RNAcentral lists this long non-coding RNA (304 nucleotides) under Mytilus galloprovincialis (Mediterranean mussel). Lineage: Eukaryota; Metazoa; Mollusca; Bivalvia; Mytilida; Mytilidae. The record is from RNAcentral.
UUUUUUUUUAUUUCCGAUUUAAUGUUAUUCAGUUAAGGGGUUUAUUCAUUAAAAAAGAUGGUAUUUUCCAGUUUUCGGACAAUAACUCAAAAAUGUUCUCUGCAGUUCUCAUGAAACUUUGAUGUAUUGUUUAUAUACAUGAUAUAUAUUGACUGAUUUUUAUAAAUAUCUGAUAUGACAUUGAGAAGUUAUCGAAUAUUUCCAAAAGGUGACGGGCGUAUAAUGCACUCAUGGCGUAGCUGUUUAUUUGUUAUGGAAUACUUUUUUCAGCAUUUAUUUUUGUACAAAUAUCGAAACUCACACA